UGUCACAAACGACAGUGAAACCUUUUUUAUGUAUUUUUCUCUUAGGACCGUAACUGGUUUGUCAAACCAGUGCCGAUACCUGGUUUCGGUUUGCGCACGAUCAGCACGUGCAAGUUGGUUAAAAGCGAGAGUUUCUGUCCGUCAUUUUAAAACAGGGAUAGCCGUGAGUCAGUCGGCCAGGCAGCAUCACGCUGAAGUCAACAUUGAAAUGUUGCUCCUUUUCACACACAAACCCACAGUGAAUCACCAAAGUCUUUUUACCCUAUUCCACAUCCUAUUCACCACAAGACAAGUGGACACAAGUCCAUAAUGUAUAUAUGUAUGGUAGCAAUGUAUACAACGAAUAAAGGUGAUGAAUUUAA
Haliotis rubra (blacklip abalone) is the source of this 362-nucleotide long non-coding RNA. RefSeq lists it as uncharacterized. The record is from RefSeq and is a predicted model, not a curated record. NCBI's taxonomy places the organism in Eukaryota, Metazoa, Mollusca, Gastropoda, Lepetellida, Haliotidae. The transcript has 2 exons.